AGAUAGAUGAAAUAAGUCCUUAGACAACUUUCUGUUAGAGAUUCUUCCCUCCAGUAUAUUGCACUCAGCUCAGGUGCUUAAGAAGCUCUCAUCUUAAGACAUGUAAAUAUACAUUUAACUUCCUUAAGAAGUAGUUAUCGGUUCAGUAAACUAGUCACUGCAGAAGCUAAUUGGGCUUCUGUAUAUCUAAAACUGAUGAUUUUUUUCUGAAUCGUUGGUUGUCCAUUUAUUUGCCUUCAGUAUUAAGCUAAUGCAGGUAAAGUUUAGUAAGUCAUUGGAGAAAGAGGAAAUUAUUACUUUUACAAAAGAAAAAGCAACUGGUUGUUACCCAAACAGUAUAAAAGUUCAAUUUUUUCAUAAAGAUGAACUUAAAAUUUUCUCUGAUUGAUAUAUGAAAAUAAACCAAUUUUUAGAGGAACUUAUUCACAAAUAAC
RNAcentral lists this long non-coding RNA (434 nucleotides) under Bos taurus (domestic cattle). Its description in RNAcentral is "long non-coding RNA NONBTAT011368". The record is from RNAcentral. Lineage: Eukaryota; Metazoa; Chordata; Mammalia; Artiodactyla; Bovidae.